UAUAUAUAUAUAUAUAUUUCUAUAAUGAGUGUAACAUUUACUUUAGUUAGAAUUUAUUUAGUAAAAUACAUACGUCACAUUAUAAAACGUAUGCACAAACAUGCCAGCCAGCGACUGAUCCCUGCCUCGAUCACUUUUUCGAAAACCAAUUUCUGCCUCUUCUUUGUGAUGCUGUCCUGAAUCUAAUAAUAAAAAAAAUAUUUUAAUAAGCAACAAUCAUAGAUAUUGCGGUAAUAGCUGGGAAUGAUUAUAUUCUAAUUUGUUUGUAGUUAGUCAUCAAUAAUCUCGUUUUAGCUAAAUUAUUAUGUGCCGCCAUUAUCAUCGUAAGCUUCUGUGGAACUAACAUUUUACAGAUUAGGAGAUUUAUUAAGAGCGGAUUUUAGUCAGUGAGUUGACGGAUUUUAGACACAGUAACGUAAUUAUUUAUUAGUAGGCUAGCUUUCCUCGGCCACCUACCCACGCGCGCUUCUUUUUCCAAGCUGUUGUACCGUCUGUACUUAUCAAGCUUGGACAUUAUGUUAGUUUAGGUUUUGUGCUUACUUUAUCAUCACAAUGCCCAUUCUGAGUAUUUAAACAUAUGUUCCGGGGUCGCCGAGAGGUGAGGAUAUACAUACAUUUGUAACGUGUAUAGAACUUGGGAUGCGUCCGUUACAUUUAUUCUCCGUGAAUUUCAUAUUACUAUUAUUAUUAAUUAAGUUAAUAGUACAAGUUGCUUUUCCUUGGAUGUGAGAGUGGUGUCAGUCUCUUGGAGAUUGUCGCUGGAAGGACAUCGCGCUAAAAAGACAAGAAAUUUAACCCGAAGAUGAAGCAAUGGGAUGCAGUGAUGGAGGCAACUGCAGUAGGUGCUCGGAGACAGUCUUCGGUGGGUACCCUCCAGGUUUCUCCCGUUUUAUAUAUAUAUAUAUAUAUAUGGGGUGUGGCUGUGUCAUGGACACGGCCUUGUGUUGUACGUGAAUAAGUAAUAUUUUCUAUACAAAAUAUAAAAUACUAUAUUUUUUUAUUUUAACACCAUAUAAAUUCACUGUAACUGUUUUACACUAAAGUUUUAUAUAUGCAAUCGAUAGAUUUUGACGAGAGCUGACGAUUGAAACUCAAACGAACGUCGCAGCUUCUCCGAGUCAAAAGUUACAUUACAUGGAAAUCUCGAAACGCAGCAAAAUGACCUCAAAACGGCGGCGCUUCCCCCUCCACCGCGCGCGAUGCGUCACAGUCCUCAUUUAGCGUAACGAAUUCGGCGAUCCUUAGCUAUCCAGUGGCGUAAUUAAAUUUUGGAUGGAGAUGAUAGACAUGUAGCUGCUACACCAAACUGUAUCCCCCGAUUUUAUCAUCAUUCUAUUUUUUUUAUUGCCUCCCACUAUGGAAGCAAUUUUAAAGAUGUAUUCACGUCAAAAAAAAAUCCUGACUAUCCACAGGGUAUCGAACCCGAAUCCCGGUGGUCUUUGGCUGCAGGAAGUGUGGCAGCUCGUUGUGCGGCAUGUUGCGCUCGGCUCGCAUCGGCAGAAUGAGACUUCCUUGUCCCGUGUUGUGAAACCUGGCAGUGACCCACAAUUCUUGGAUCGGUAGUGGGGCUGGAGGUGGUCUUCGCUCGUGUGUGGGGAGGCGGUGAAGGAGAGGCAGUUUGCAAGACGCCCGGAGCAGGACGGCCCUGCACUAUACAAGCAGCAGGGAGCUGUCAAUACAUAGGGCCUACGAUGUGCUUAUUGUACUGAAACGAUUCCGUCUGUACCAACAUCGUAAUGUCAUUCACAUUCAAAGCUAAUUUAUAUAUUUUUUAUUUUCAAUUAUGUGAUUUGAUGGGGGACGCACCACAACGCCGAAAUACCACAACGCCGACCGUACAAUAACACCGAAUACUAUAACGCCGAACGUCAAAAUUGACCACAACGCCGACAGCUAGAAAACUGCUGUGUACAACACCGCCGAAUUACCACAACGCCGAAAAAUGUCAUUGCAGGACUGCCACAAAGGUUGCGUUAGGUAAGGUUAGCACACAAAUUCAUUCAGUUGUUUUUCAUUUUGCUGAUGUGGCCCCCCUUCCCCGCAAAAUCAUUUUUCGGCGUUGUGGUAAUUCGGCGUUGUGGUACAAAGCAGUUUUCUAGCUGUCGGCGUUGUGGUCAAUUUUGACAUUCGGCGUUAUGGUAUUCGGCGUUAUUGUACGUUCGGCGUUGUGGUAACGACCCGAUUUGAUGAAUAAACUGUAAUUUUACUUUCUAAAUAUGAUUAUUUAGUGUUGAGGAAACCACUUUAAAACGUUUUAAAUAAAAGAGUGAAUCAACAAAUUUUACAUCGUCAGGUGAAUGCCCGUGUGUUUUAGGUAUAUUAAAAAAAAUUACUACUUAUUGUAGCUGUUACCAUGGCCCUUCUUCGGAAAAAAAAAUUAUAUAGUUUAUCGUUUCGUGGUCCAUAUACCCUAAAACCAUUGUCACCUCAAAAGUUUAUAUAUAUUUAUGUUUAUACAUAUAAUUACAUUUUUAUGGACACGAUAACAGCAGUAAUUUUGCCAAAAUCACUUCAAAAUUGACACAUAAAAUAUAGUAAAGGAAAAUCUCAGUCGAGUUUGUUAAUGAUAAAAAUCCGAGUAGGAUAAUUCCUGCAAGGGGUUGAAUAAAACAGGAGCAGAAAAAGAAAUCAUAAUUCCCAUACCAUGUAUGCUAUCAAAACUAUUCUUAUUUAUUGUGAAACCUUAAAACAUUAUCUAUAAAUUUCAUCCUAAAUAAUUUUUGCACGACUAACAUUACUCCAAGGGGUGUAAAAUAACAGGGAUUAAAGGACGAAGAAAGGAAUAACUCCCUUAGUAAGUACACUAUUAAUUCCUUUCAAAUUGUUUGUAAAUCUUAUAAAUAUUAGCUAAAAUUCUGUCUGAAAUAAUUUUUGAUAUAACCAAACAUUGUUGCUAAGGGUGGAAUAAACAGGGAUUAAAGGUAAAAAUAUAAUAAAAAAUCAUAACUCCCAUAUUAUGUAAACUAUAAAAUUUAUUACAAUAAAUUGUAAAUCUUCUAAAAAUUAUUUUAAACUUUGGUCUAAAACAAUUUUUGAUAAGACGAACCAUUACUGCAAGAGGUUGAAAAAAACAUGGGUUGGAAUAAAAAGAAUAAAUAAAAACUUACGUACAAUGUAAAAAACACCCCCCCCCCCCCCAACCCAAAAAAAAACCAUGACAUUUUAAGUAGGUAUAUAGAGUAAACGUGCCUAAAAUGACAUACCUUUUUUUUCGGCCCAAAAUUUAAAGCCAAACAUGAAAUAAAAUUUAAUAAUUAGAUUGAUAUUAAUUCUGAUAAUUUUUUUUGUUUGGUUGGGCCAAAGCUUUUAAAUAAUGUUCCUUCAAUUUAAUUUUGGCAAUUAAAAAAGUUACCAAUGUGUUAUUUUAGGCUUCUAUCUGUAAAAUGACAUAUAUAUAUAUACAUUACAUUUUCCUUUAGAAGAAAACACUUCUUAAUUGUAAAAUACUUAAACCACGUUACAAUUAAUGAAACCUUAUUUGGUUAACCACUAAUUUGUGAUUCUAACAGCAAAGAUCACACAUAUAAAAUUUUUUUUCCCCAGGAAGUCUAGCACAUUCACUGUGUGCCCACUUUUUACACUGACAGCAUUGCAGCCAAGUUUCCUUAGGUUUCGACCGAGAUAAACGUUUGUUGCUGUAAAGUCAAUGGCAGUCAUCGUCGGCAUCAUCUCAAAAAAGUUAUUUUUCGCAGCUAAUUUCAUUAUCCAUAGUAAAUAGUUUUCUUGCUUUCCAGACCGACUUCCGCUGUUCUUUCGAGUUCUUCUGCUACUUUAUUUUUUAACGCCAGUAGGUAUGGACUGGUUGUCAAAACCUGCAGGUGCAGGGUUUUUCUUGCAUUUUCUCUUCUUUCCACGUCUAGUUGCCUGAGGAAGGGGUGAAAUUGUAGCAAUAGAAACUUUCUUAGUAGGGGUAGGUUGGCUAUCGUCGUUUGCUCUAUCAUUAUCUUCGAGGUUUGAAGGCGUGAUGUCUGAUGAUUUUCUUGAGCAUGGUUUUCAUUGUUCUGAAUAUCAUCAUCAGCAAAUGUUCACAUGUACCUACUGUAUUAUACAUACUGAAUUAUACUUACGCGUAUAAGUUCCUGGGAGUUCUGAGUCACUGACUUGAUUUACUAUUGGUAGACCGGAGUGCAAACCUGGUACCGUCGGUAGUUCAUCUUCUAGUGGAAGUGGACUUUUUGUUGUUUCGGCUGGCUCAAACAAGUGGUCCGUAAAUUAACUUGCCAAAGUCCUGUUUUUUGAAAACCACUUAACAGCAAUAGCUAAAGUGGCUGUUUUUCCAUACGCAACUCAGUUCACCAGUCUUCUAGGAUGAUUCUUAAGCCAUUUGGUUACUUCGUGGUCGUAAUGAGUCUUGAGAGGGCCGUAAAUCGACACUUCAACCAGCUGUAACUGAUGAGUGCAAUGAGCAGGUAAACAUAACAUCACUAUUCCAUUUUUUUUGCAUAUGUCAGUACAUCCACUUGAAUGCCAAUCUACAAGAAUGAGAUUUUUUUUUUGGUAGGCUUGACAAAAGAUGAAAAAUACCUCAACCCUGUUAGGAAAUUUUCGCCUGUCAUCCAACCACUUUCAUGUGUAAUGCACAAGGUUCCAUAGGGAGCAUUAUCUGUUAAUUAUCUUCUAGUUUUUACAUGGAAAUAUUAUAACAGGAGGAAAAAGGCCAACAGGACUCAUACAACGGACUACAGUAGCAUGUGUUAGUAAACGUGUGUAAACUCUGUGUUAGCUAUAGCUCCCAUCUGUUUCCUGUAGUAACUUUUGUGUGUUUUGAACUGUAGACAAGCUGGAGUCAUUCAAAUUAUAAAUUCCAUUGAUGCCUAUGUUGUGACUGUGUGAGUCUCUUAUAUUUAUUGAAAAAAUUACUGACUUGCUGUUUGUUUAAAGCCAUCGCCUGUGCUGCAGAAGUUGCUUCGGGUUUUCUUAAAGAUAUAUCCAGAUAACACUUCAAACCCAAUUAGCCAUUUGCUUUUCUCUGUUGAAACGGUGGACUAAUCCCAUUUAUUUCUGUUAGUUGAUAAGCAAGUUUUCGUACUUCUGUGCAUGUGAGGCUAAAUAAACGGGAUUUCAAAAGUUUCUAGUGGGUCACAAGUUCACGUUCUAGAGCUUCGUCGAAUGUGGGAUGAAAAUGGCUCAAACCUUUGUUUACACCAUUAAAGAUUUUAUUUUUGAUUUUCGCUCUUCUGCGAAGAGUAGCCUGGGUACACCAAAUCUCUUUGCAGCUAGAAGUCAGCCUAUUACUCCCGUGGUAACUGCAUCUAUAGCUCUGUGCAUUGCCACUACCUCUAAGGAUUGCUGGGAUUUCCUUUUGUAGCUUUCAACCAUCUGCGAACAUAUCCCAAAACGUAGCUGUAAAACUUGGUACUGUAAGGUAUUUAUCAUGCUAGGACCAAUUUUAUUUUUGACACCACAUAUCUUAAAAGUGCAAGAUACUGCAAGUAGCUACUUUAUUUGCCUAUAUUUAAAAGGCAUUGUGUUAAGAGAAAUACAUUUUAAAGCCUUAUAUUAUAUAUAUAGUUGAUAGCAUUUAAGUCAUUAAUAGUUAAAUUGUUAGGUUAAGCCUAAUAAUAUAUGGUAAUUCGUCAUUUCUGCUCUCGUCGGUUCGAGAAGGGCGCCUCGAGUACUCAGCGACGCCGGCCUCCGCGACAGUUUUUGGCGACGAGUUCCGCGACAGUUCCGAGCGAGGAGAGUUCGGAGAGUUCCGCGAGUGAAGGGAAGUGCGACAACGGCGAAGAGGGUGUGAGACCCCCUCGAGAGUGGCGCGACGCGGAGCGACGGGAUCGUGAGAGUGCGGCGAUUGAGUGACGCGAGAUGUGUGUGUGGCCAGGCGCGUUGUAAGGGGCGAACCACUGUUUAGCCUAGCUCCAGAGAGGAGUGCGAACUGUGGAACUUUGCAGACAUGAGAAUAAACAUUUUUAAGUGCCAGUGAUUUUUAUCGGACAUUUUUAAGUACAAUUAUUUAUUGUCAAUGUAAAUUUUAGUAAUUAAUAAAACUGUAAUAAAACUUAAUUGGGCUAUCCUUUUCGAACCCAGUUCUCCCAACAUUAAAUCGUAACAAUAUGAUCAUCUGUAGUGCGCAGAAAGCCAAAACACCUGGUAUGUCAUUUUAUCCUAGUCCCACCAAAAAGUUUAUAUAUAUAUAUAUAUAUAUAUAUAUAUGCACACACACACACACACAGAGAGAGAGAGAGAGGGAGAGGGAGAGAAUGUCAAGAACUGAACGUCAAUCCGAGAACAUUUGAAAAUAUGGCUAAUUAAAGCAAAUAAUUUGCCAAGGUAGCAAAGUAUUUAUUUUUAUAGUGUGAAUAGUCAAAGUUACCCAAUUACAAUUUAUUGUUGCAUAAGUUGUGCAAAGAAUUUCCCCCCCCUAAAAGUAUAUAAUGUUUUGAUUUUAUUUUGAAUAAAUUGUUAUCAAUAGUAGGGUGAUUUAUGAUUGCGUGGCAAACAUUUUUAGUCACGGUAUCUAAUAAUUUGAUGCAGGAUGGGGAUUUAAAACUUAAAAAAAAAAAAAAAAAAUCAUAAUUGGACAUCUACAACACUUUUUGGAUUUUUUUUAUUCAGAACAGUAAUGAAUUGGCGAAGCAACUGUUCUCGGAUUUACAUUGAGUUCUGGGACAUGUAUAUUGUUAAGUAUUGAUAACAUCAGUCGGAUUAAAUUUUAUUCCAAAAACAUUUUUUUUGCGUAGCUUUAUGCUUUAAAAAAUACUGAUGGUAGAUUAAAUCUGAAUUGAUUUUACUUGAAUAAUUUAUUUCUAAAACCCUUAACGCCAUUAAAAAAAUAAGAUUUUUAAAAAAGUUGAAUAAGUUUUAAAAAACCGUGCAAAUCCACGCGUUUUUCCUCACGAGAAUUAUAACUGCAGCCAGAGCCGUCGAGAAGGAUAAUGUUAUAAUGUAAACACGUGGUGUCUUGGUUGCCAAAUACCCCGUGCCCGUGCAUUGAGGGGGGCCCGGUUGAGUUCCGAAAGAUUUUUUUUAUGCUUGUGGUUACCCUGAUAGUAGGACAAAAAUUACAAUUCUGUCGCUAAUAAAGUUCAUUGGAAACCUUGCAAAUUAUAUGUUCUUUGAAUUGUUCCUGUAAUGGGGAAGAUCGAUUAAAGAUUUUUUUUUGGGAGCAAGCGCCAUUGCUGGUUACACUGUAUGUCAUGAGAAACCUCAACAAUGGACAAAACAAUAUGAAUAUGCAAAAACACAGAAAACAAGCAAAAAUCAGCCCAUGUCAAAAAUUUAAUAAAAGCACAAUAUUCCUUGGUAGGAAUUAGUAAAAAAAAAAAAAAAAAAUACACUACUGACAGAGACAGUGGGUUGAUGACGUCUAGACAGUUGCGACAAGAACAGUGAAUACAAAAAAACAAUCAUCUUUGGACAACAGCAACAGAGGAUCGCAAAAAUUAUUCAAAACAAAUAAUAUGGACAGUACAACGACCAUACAGCAACGUACAUGUGAACCCGAUGAAAUUAAAAAAAAAUAUUCUGGACAACACACAUUCGCAUCUGUACAUUGUUCAUUAAGUAAUGUGGAGGAUCCAGAUGUUUUUUUCCCCUGGCUCUUAGUUUCUCUGAACGGCUCUGGCUGUAGCGUAAUUUUUACUAUAUUUUCUACAUUGUUACAUUACAUAAAAACAGGUACAUUAACAAUCUGACCUGUUAGUAAAUAAAAUGCAAUGACACUUUGAACUUACGAAUUAAUUGUGAAGACUGCAUCGAUGAGAGUCGUUAAGUUUUUCUCUCUGCUAGUAAAAACAUUGCUUUGAGAAGAAACAAUAUUUUAGUCAAAAUUUUUAUUAUUAAUUUACAAUCUCAUUCGAAUGAUCUUACUUUCUGAGUUAUUUUAGAGAUAUUUGGUUUAUAUUUAUUAAUUUUUUUGUAAUUACAACUUUAUUUGUAAAAAAAAAACAUUUAUUUCUAAAUCGGUUAGUGAAUUAAAUAAUCUAAGUUGUUUGUUAUAAAAUUCGAAAUUUUGAUUGAUUCUUGUUUAAAUAUUUAACGAGCUGGAUUAUUUGUGUGUUCCAAUUAUCAGGACAAGUAUAGAUAAUGUAGCAAUGGUCAUGGUGGACGCUUGGAAGUUAAGGAAAAAAUUGUUAAAUUUUCUCAUUCAAGACCGUACAUGUUAUUUUGGGUUAUGCAAGGUGAGCUGUUACAACACCUACGAUUUAAACUGUGUGAAAAGCCGCAUCGCCGACGGCUAUUUUUAUUUAGGCCCCUAUGUCAGUGUGUGUCAAUAAUAAUGUAAUUUUUUUUAAACAUGUUCAAUUUUUUCUGUACUUUUUUCCCCCCAGAUCUCCUUUACCCCCUUACCAAAACGGGGAAAAAAAUUUCCUGUAUCCGCCACUGAAAUGUAGUAAUGGUUUUAAUAAAAUACCUCAACGAAACGGUAUGCUAUUUCGACUCGCCCUUCUCUUGAACGAAAACUAGCUUAUAGACAGAGUAUGCACAUAUUGCGCUCUGGGUUACCCGGGAAAGGAGGGUUGUGCAUUUGUUACCGCGCCACAAUGGGUGAUUGUGAUCCUGCGCGGGAUUGGCCGGAGCCUGCGGGCUCCAGUAAUUAUUCACAGUUGACGGUGGCCAAAUAAUCACUAACUGCGCACACGGUAUUGAUUUUCUGCCUGCCAACGACUCCUCUUGCGCACGACUUGACAGGUUACCGGGUUUCUGUGGUUCUGCGCUUGCGUUCGCCCUUGUCGGUUUGCCACAUUUCCAGCGCGUUGCUAUGUAUGCUAUGGCGACUAUAAUUGCCUAUUUUUAUUGAAACAAAAUACCUCGCAGUAAACUGGCAAAAAAAAUGUACAUAUUAUUGCGGGACUUUGACGAAAUAUAUUAAUUUAAUAUUUUUGAAAUUGUAAGAGAAAAAUUAGUUCAUAAGUAGCAUGACUAUUUUUUUUAUGUGAACAUAAGAACAAACAAAAUAAAUUUUAUUUACGUGAACAAAAAAAUAAACCGGGAAUGAUGUUCAAUAAUUCAUCCGUGUACACAGUGCUACCAACUGUACAAUGUUUGUCGGUGGUUGCAACUCUUUACAAAUACGUAUUAUUUUGUCGGCAGCCUUUCAUCGUCAGUACAUUGUUUAGUUUGUUUCCCGGUAUAUUAUCAUACUAGUAAUUAUAAUAUUUUUUUUGCAUAAUGUACAUUUUAAAUAAAAAUUUGACAUGUGUCAUUGUAGUACGAGUUUGGCAAUUGUGUUUACACCACAAAAAUGGUUGUUACUUGCGUUUAGUGCUCUCUGAUAAUGUGUGAUUAAAAUAAAAUAACUGCGAAUUUAGACAAGGUGUAAUAAAUGCAACGUUAUAUUAAGACCGAUUGUUAUUCUUUUGUGUUUUAAAUACGCCAGACUAUGUGAUAGUUAAUAUUUUGUUUUCUCAGUAACAAUUCAAGCGUAAUGUUUGUUGUGACUGUCUGUUCGCAAUUAAUGUCAAAGAAGGCACACUGAAUGGAAAAGCAAUGAAAUCGCUUCCAUGGCGGGUUUUUGCAGUAAAAUGUUUAGUAACGUGUGUUAAUUAUGCCGGACAAUGUGAAAUGAAUCAAAAUAACAAGACAGUGACAUUUUAUUCUUCAAAAAAUACUCGGAGAAAAGAUAUGAGGUUUAAUGAUAUAUUACGUGACCCUUCUGCAUUAGAAUCUUUUUUGGGACUGAGUGCUGAGAUGAAUUCAGCUCUCUUCCUCAGAUUUGGGAUUGGUAGUGCCAUGGUGGGGAUGUUUAUCCUUGAAUUGCUAAGCAAUCUACCCACCAACCUAUGUUAAGACUUCGGGCAGAAAUUUCGUCAGUUGAAACACACAUUCCAACUUAAUCGCAGUCUGCUUCUUCCGUGACAGCAAUAUUCAUUUCAUUCACAGCAGGGCUCAGAUCGCGCGACGCUGGAGAGCAUCGUGGACUCGCUACAGCAGGGAUUGCUGGAGGUGGCUGGAGCAAGACAUUCC
Molecule: long non-coding RNA, 9906 nt
Organism: Bacillus rossius redtenbacheri
Lineage: Eukaryota; Metazoa; Arthropoda; Insecta; Phasmatodea; Bacillidae
Exons: 4
Source: RefSeq, a predicted model, not a curated record